RNAcentral lists this ribosomal RNA (238 nucleotides) under Vibrio cholerae. RNAcentral describes it as "partial 16S ribosomal RNA". It matches the Rfam family "Bacterial small subunit ribosomal RNA", at positions 1301 to 1533 of the family's 1533-position model. Lineage: Bacteria; Pseudomonadati; Pseudomonadota; Gammaproteobacteria; Vibrionales; Vibrionaceae. The record is from RNAcentral.
GAGUCUGCAACUCGACUCCAUGAAGUCGGAAUCGCUAGUAAUCGCAAAUCAGAAUGUUGCGGUGAAUACGUUCCCGGGCCUUGUACACACCGCCCGUCACACCAUGGGAGUGGGCUGCAAAAGAAGCAGGUAGUUUAACCUUCGGGAGGACGCUUGCCACUUUGUGGUUCAUGACUGGGGUGAAGUCGUAACAAGGUAGCGCUAGGGGAACCUGGCGCUGGAUCACCUCCUUACACGA